RNAcentral lists this ribosomal RNA (498 nucleotides) under uncultured bacterium. RNAcentral's name for it is "bacterial SSU rRNA". It matches the Rfam family "Bacterial small subunit ribosomal RNA", at positions 31 to 518 of the family's 1533-position model. The record is from RNAcentral.
GAACGCUGGCGGCAGGCCUAACACAUGCAAGUCGAACGGUAACAGGAAGCAGCUUGCUGCUUGCUGACGAGUGGCGGACGGGUGAGUAAUGUCUGGGAAACUGCCUGAUGGAGGGGGGUAACGUACUGGAAACGGUAGCUAAUACCGCAUAACGUCGCAAGACCAAAGAGGGGGACCUUCGGGCCUCUUGCCAUCAGAUGUGCCCAGAUGGGAUUAGCUUGUUGGUGGGGUAACGGCUCACCAAGGCGACGAUCCCUAGCUGGUCUGAGAGGAUGACCAGCCACACUGGAACUGAGACACGGUCCAGACUCCUACGGGAGGCAGCAGUGGGGAAUAUUGCACGAUGGGCGCAAGCCUGAUGCAGCCAUGCCGCGUGUAUGAAGAAGGCCUUCGGGUUGUAAAGUACUUUCAGCGGGGAGGAAGGUGUUGUGGUUAAUAACCACAGCAAUUGACGUUACCCGCAGAAGAAGCACCGGCUAACUCCGUGCCAGCAGCCGC